AUUGAACGCUGGCGGCAGGCCUAACACAUGCAAGUCGAGCGGAUGAAGGGAGCUUGCUCCUGGAUUCAGCGGCGGACGGGUGAGUAAUGCCUAGGAAUCUGCCUGGUAGUGGGGGAUAACGUCCGGAAACGGGCGCUAAUACCGCAUACGUCCUGAGGGAGAAAGUGGGGGAUCUUCGGACCUCACGCUAUCAGAUGAGCCUAGGUCGGAUUAGCUAGUUGGUGGGGUAAAGGCCUACCAAGGCGACAAUCCGUAACUGGUCUGAGAGGAUGAUCAGUCACACUGGAACUGAGACACGGUCCAGCCUCCUACGGGAGGCAGCAGAGGGGAAUAUUGGACAAUGGGCGAAAGCCUGAUCCAGCCAGGCCGCGUGUGUGAAGAAGGUCUUCGGAUUGUAAAGCACUUUAAGUUGGGAGGAAGGGCAGUAAGUUAAUACCUUGCUGUUUUGACGUUACCGACAGAAUAAGCACCGGCUAACUUCGUG
This 484-nucleotide ribosomal RNA is filed under the name uncultured bacterium. RNAcentral's name for it is "partial 16S ribosomal RNA". It matches the Rfam family "Bacterial small subunit ribosomal RNA", at positions 30 to 507 of the family's 1533-position model. The record is from RNAcentral.